GACGAACGCUGGCGGCGUGCCUAAUACAUGCAAGUAGAACGCACAGUUUAUACCGUAGCUUGCUCCACCAUAGACUGUGAGUUGCGAACGGGUGAGUAACGCGUAGGUAACCUGCCUGGUAGCGGGUGAUAACUAUUGGAAACGAUAGCUAAUACCGCAUAAUAUUGAUUAUUGCAUGAUAAUUGAUUGAAAGAUGCUAUUGCAUCACUACCAGAUGGACCUGCGUUGUAUUAGCUAGUAGGUGAGGUAACGGCUCACCUAGGCGACGAUACAUAGCCGACCUGAGAGGGUGAUCGGCCAAACUGGGACUGAGACACGGCCCAGACGCAUACGGGAGGCAGCAGUAGGGAAUCUUCGGAAAUGGACGAAAGUCUGACCGAGAAACGCCGCGUGAGUGAAGAAGGGUUUCGGAUCGUAAAGCUCUGUUGUAAGAGAAGAACGGGUGUGAGAGUGGAAAGUUCACACUGUGACGGUAUCUUACCAGAAAGGGACGGCUAACUACGUG
This 505-nucleotide ribosomal RNA is filed under the name uncultured bacterium. RNAcentral describes it as "partial 16S ribosomal RNA". It matches the Rfam family "Bacterial small subunit ribosomal RNA", at positions 28 to 507 of the family's 1533-position model. The record is from RNAcentral.